This 335-nucleotide long non-coding RNA is filed under the name Mytilus galloprovincialis (Mediterranean mussel). The record is from RNAcentral. Lineage: Eukaryota; Metazoa; Mollusca; Bivalvia; Mytilida; Mytilidae.
UAGCUUUCGAAAGAAAAAAAUGAAACGUGGAUUAGUGGUAGUGCUUUCUCUGUCGAUAACUGGAUUGCUUUUGACAGGCAUGUCCUUACUAGUUGUUUCAUUAUGUGUAUGGUACAAAGACAACCAUGAUGGAGAUAACAUUGCUGUUUCUGCUAUAUUUAUAUCACUUGGGAUUUUCCAAGCAUUUUUUCUGUGGUUCUUUAUUCGACACAAGAAAGGUGCUUCAAAAACACAACUACGAGUACGACGAAAAGAAAUAUCUUGGAAGUAGUGACAAUAGAAAGUGUCGUACACCAAGAUGAGAAUUGUACAACGUUAGACAAAAAACGGAAGAU